Molecule: ribosomal RNA, 546 nt
Filed under: Hyphopichia burtonii
Lineage: Eukaryota; Fungi; Ascomycota; Pichiomycetes; Serinales; Debaryomycetaceae
Description: LSU rRNA
Rfam family: Eukaryotic large subunit ribosomal RNA
Source: RNAcentral
AAUCAGGUAGGACUACCCGCUGAACUUAAGCAUAUCAAUAAGCGGAGGAAAAGAAACCAACAGGGAUUGCCUCAGUAACGGCGAGUGAAGCGGCAAAAGCUCAAAUUUGGAAUCUCAGUCUUUCAGGCUGCGAGUUGUAAUUUGAAGACGUAUUUUGAAGUAAGCACAUGUCGAAGUUCCUUGGAACAGGACGUCACAGAGGGUGAGAAUCCCGUGCGAUGUGUUCACUGCUUCAUGUAAAAUGCAGUCGAAGAGUCGAGUUGUUUGGGAAUGCAGCUCUAAGUGGGUGGUAAAUUCCAUCUAAAGCUAAAUAUUGGCGAGAGACCGAUAGCGAACAAGUACAGUGAUGGAAAGAUGAAAAGAACUUUGAAAAGAGAGUGAAAAAGUACGUGAAAUUGUUGAAAGGGAAGGGCUUGAGAUCAGACUCGGGCAACCGGGCCAGCAUGGGGUGGGGGAGUAGGAUAACCCUGCAGGAAAGUGGCUUCGCUUCGGUGGAGUGUUAUAGCCUGUAGCUAUACUGCUACCCUCGCCCGAGGACUGCGGAAA